This 227-nucleotide long non-coding RNA is filed under the name Brassica napus (rape). RNAcentral describes it as "long non-coding RNA (BNAP_LNC008174)". Lineage: Eukaryota; Viridiplantae; Streptophyta; Magnoliopsida; Brassicales; Brassicaceae. The record is from RNAcentral.
UGGUGUGUACUGCGACUCUUCAAACCCACGAAUCAUUAAACUGUCUCGGUAUUUUGCUUUCUACCGACAAGACGUACAGUAAUAAAAUUUCUACGAUUUAAUAAAACUGAAACAUGAUGAAAACUUUAAAGAAAUGUUAAGCUAUUUAAUGGUGUAACUAAGAAACGGAUGUUAGAAUAUGAAAUGCAGAUUUUAAGACGAAAUUAGGAAACUAAAAGAAACAAAAU